Long non-coding RNA from Hordeum vulgare subsp. vulgare (domesticated barley), 622 nucleotides. RefSeq lists it as uncharacterized. The transcript has 2 exons. NCBI's taxonomy places the organism in Eukaryota, Viridiplantae, Streptophyta, Magnoliopsida, Poales, Poaceae. The record is from RefSeq and is a predicted model, not a curated record.
CGUCCCGCUCGCUCACCGCAUGUGCGGGUGCCGCGGCGCGGCCGUCGCCAACUGAGGGGAAGUCUUCUCCAUAGACGUCACCGACUACGCCGUUGGCUUGCUGCUCGACGUAUUCUGGCGCGUGUCUGCGGCCGAGCGGUACGUCCAACACGGGUCCUGGCUGGUGCAGGGCGACCAUCCCUUUGGAUCCAAGGAUCAGGGGAGCGUACUUGUUUAAAGACCCGAGAACACGCCUGGUCAUGGAAAUGCAAAUCUCACGAGUGAAAAUCCGCGAGGACAAAAAUUGAAGGGUGUUAAAAGUUGGUAUGCCUCAGUGUCCGAUGAGAAAAGAGCGGAAUACAACCAGAAGCGGCUUACAACCCAGUCAAAAAAGGAAGCGCUAUAUAGGAUCUUUACUUGAUAAACUCCUCCGGGAUCAUUACUUUCAUGCUCCCACUACUUAUUUUUUACCGAAUUUUACAGUAUCAAUCAGUUUGCAUUUUUUGUUUUACAUUAUGUACCUUUGUUGUGCAUUUGCUUAUUUUUUGUUUAUUGUGGAUUCUACUUGCAUGGCGGAUCAUUCGUGAUGUUGAAUUAUUACAGUGAUGGAGAAUAUAAAACAAAGUACUCUGCUGCUUAGGCA